GACGAACGCUGGCGGCGUGCCUAAUACAUGCAAGUAGAACGCUGAAGAGAGGAGCUUGCUCUUCUUGGAUGAGUUGCGAACGGGUGAGUAACGCGUAGGUAACCUGCCUUGUAGCGGGGGAUAACUAUUGGAAACGAUAGCUAAUACCGCAUAACAAUGGAUGACCCAUGUCAUUUAUUUGAAAGGGGCAAAUGCUCCACUACAAGAUGGACCUGCGUUGUAUAGCUAGUAGGUGAGGUAACGGCUCACCUAGGCGACGAUACAUAGCCGACCUGAGAGGGUGAUCGGCCACACUGGGACUGAGACACGGCCCAGACUCCUACGGGAGGCAGCAGUAGGGAAUCUUCGGCAAUGGGGGCAACCCUGACCGAGCAACGCCGCGUGAGUGAAGAAGGUUUUCGGAUCGUAAAGCUCUGUUGUAAGUCAAGAACGAGUGUGAGAGUGGAAAGUUCACACUGUGACGGUAGCUUACCAGAAAGGGACGGCUAACUACGUG
This 496-nucleotide ribosomal RNA is filed under the name uncultured bacterium. RNAcentral describes it as "partial 16S ribosomal RNA". It matches the Rfam family "Bacterial small subunit ribosomal RNA", at positions 28 to 507 of the family's 1533-position model. The record is from RNAcentral.